GAUUGACCUCGGAUCAGGUAGGGAUACCCGCUGAACUUAAGCAUAUCAAUAAGCGGAGGAAAAGAAACCAACAGGGAUUGCCUCAGUAACGGCGAGUGAAGCGGCAACAGCUCAAAUUUGAAAUCUGGCUCCUCCGGGGUCCGAGUUGUAAUUUGUAGAGGAUGUUUCGGGUGCGGCGCCGGUCGAAGUCCCUUGGAACAGGGUGUCACAGAGGGUGAGAAUCCCGUACGUGGCCGGUGACCAAGCCCAUGUGAAACUCCUUCGACGAGUCGAGUUGUUUGGGAAUGCAGCUCAAAAUGGGUGGUAAAUUUCAUCUAAAGCUAAAUACCGGCCAGAGACCGAUAGCGCACAAGUAGAGUGAUCGAAAGAUGAAAAGCACUUUGGAAAGAGAGUUAAAAAGUACGUGAAAUUGUUGAAAGGGAAGCGCUUGCGACCAGACCUGCCCGUGGGUGCUCAGCGGGGGUUUGCCCCCGUGCACUCGCCCACGAUCAGGCCAGCAUCAGUUCUGGCGACCGGAUAAAGGCCCGAGGAAUGUAGCUCCCCUCGGGGAGUGUUAUAGCCUCGGGCGGCAUACGGCCAGCUGGGACUGAGGACCGCGCUUCGGCAAGGAUGCUGGCGUAAUGGUUGCAAGCGACCCGUCUUGAAACACGGACCAAGGAGUCUAACAUCUAUGCGAGUGUUUGGGUGUCAAACCCAUGCGCGCAAUGAAAGUGAACGGAGGUCAGAGCCCUUUAGGGUGCAUGAUCGACCGAUCCUGAAGUUUACGGAUGGAUUUGAGUAUGAGCAUAGCUGUUGGGACCCGAAAGAUGGUGAACUAUGCCUGAAUAGGGUGAAGCCAGAGGAAACUCUGGUGGAGGCUCGCAGCGGUUCUGACGUGCAAAUCGAUCGUCAAAUUUGGGUAUAGGGGCGAAAGACUAAUCGAACCAUGAUCAUACUAGGUGGUUAAGCAGGGUGAAGCGGUACUCUCAGCCUCUCGAGGCGACAAUGCUAGGUGCAUAGACCCCGUGAAAGGGAUAUGCAGCGGGGGCGAGAGCCCCCGUCCACAGACCAAAUAGCAUUGGCUGGCGGGUGACCGCCGGUUGUGAUAUGGCCGAGUCCCCCCUCCGCGCGGAGGGGGGCACCAACGCUAGUAGCUGGUUCCUGCCGAAGUUUCCCUCAGGAUAGCAGUAACGAAUUCAGUUUUAUGAGGUAAAGCGAAUGAUUAGGAGCCUAGGGGAUGUAACAUCCUUUACUCAUUCUCAAACUUUAAAUAUGUAAGAAGUCCUUGUUACUUAAUUGAACGUGGACAUUUGAAUGUACCG
This 1301-nucleotide ribosomal RNA is filed under the name Bacidia schweinitzii. RNAcentral describes it as "LSU rRNA". It matches the Rfam family "Eukaryotic large subunit ribosomal RNA", at positions 1 to 1119 of the family's 3401-position model. The record is from RNAcentral. Lineage: Eukaryota; Fungi; Ascomycota; Lecanoromycetes; Lecanorales; Ramalinaceae.